This 387-nucleotide ribosomal RNA is filed under the name Triticum aestivum (bread wheat). RNAcentral's name for it is "partial small subunit ribosomal RNA". Lineage: Eukaryota; Viridiplantae; Streptophyta; Magnoliopsida; Poales; Poaceae. The record is from RNAcentral.
AUGGAUGUGCUUCACCUAGAGGAAAUAUCACUGAAACACAUAAGGAAGCGGUGGACAAGAGAUGCAAGGGACAUACUUCCUGAGCACCUAUGGCACUACCAGAAGGACAAUGCGGUAAACAUGUCUUUCAAUUGCAGGCAUUCGACUUUGUACGCGCAAGCUAUGAAAGUUGUGCGGCUGGGGGAUGCCGGCGCUGAAUCGUUCCACCACAUGCCAGCUGGUCUGAAAGCCUUGAUUGCUAGUGGGGUGCCUUUCGCAAAGAAGAGGGACAUUUUAGGUUUCGAGGACUGUCUGUUGAUCUUGCCCGGCGGAAGGUUGCCAGGCAACGGGGAUGUUGAAAAAUUUGGGGGCGACGACGGUCGUUGCCAUGAAGAUGGUGCAGGAUGA